This is a non-coding RNA of Xyrichtys novacula (pearly razorfish), 666 nucleotides long. NCBI's taxonomy places the organism in Eukaryota, Metazoa, Chordata, Actinopteri, Labriformes, Labridae. The record is from the annotation of a GenBank genome assembly.
AGCAGAGAGCGUCACAGCGUCGUGCUGAAAGAUGCCUCUCAAAGUUCAAACGACAUCUGAAGCUCUUCAAAAUGAAUGGCAUGGUGUGCCAUCACCAUGUUAGACUUUUCAGCCUCCUGCUCGGGUGGAAAAGCUGCAGUUGAUGCACAGGGUGUGAUCCAGCUAUGUGAGUAAAAACACGAGUAAAAAACUGUGUUUUUUUAUCCAUAUCUGCAAUUUGUAGUGUGAAAAUUGAAAUUAACCCAGUCUGAAUUGGCAUCCCCGUCAUUUAGGGUCAUUUCUUUAAACUUGAAUCUGUGUCUUCUUCUUUCUUCUUCCUUUCUCUGGUCAAAAACGAUGAACAGGGUCUGUCAUUUUAGGUGUAAUUGGUUAGCUCCCUCUGUAGUGCUAACAGCAGGUGUGCACUCAAGUGACAUUGCUUGUAAAAUGGGCACCAUGUUGCCCUUUGUGUGUACUUGUUUAUUUAACUGACCCGACAUUGAACACCUCACAGUGUUAAAAGCUUUUUCCUGCUGAUGUCAACAUGGAUUUUAACACCAAAUUUAACACUGGAUCUUGAUUUUUAACUAACAGGACUUCCUCUACAGUCUGGCUGUGUUUGGGUGAAGAGGAGGAUGGCGGCCCUGCAGCAGCAGCAGACUUGUUUAAAGCUACAGACGGUCAAAG